RNAcentral lists this non-coding RNA (109 nucleotides) under uncultured Blautia sp. RNAcentral's name for it is "FMN riboswitch (RFN element)". It matches the Rfam family "FMN riboswitch aptamer (RFN element)". From Rfam's summary of the family: The RFN element is a highly conserved domain that is found frequently in the 5'-untranslated regions of prokaryotic mRNAs that encode for flavin mononucleotide (FMN) biosynthesis and transport proteins. This element is a metabolite-dependent riboswitch that directly binds FMN in the absence of proteins. Lineage: Bacteria; Bacillati; Bacillota; Clostridia; Lachnospirales; Lachnospiraceae. The record is from RNAcentral.
UAUCUUCAGGGCAGGGUGAAAUUCCCUACCGGCGGUAAAGCCCGCGAGCCGAAAGGUGUGAUCUGGUGAGAUUCCGGAGCCGACAGUACAGUCUGGAUGAGAGAAGAUG